UCGGGAAUUUUGCGCAAUGGGCGAAAGCCUGACGCAGCAACGCCGCGUGAGGGAUGAAGGCCUUCGGGUUGUAAACCUCUUUUAUCAGGGACGAUAAUGACGGUACCUGAUGAAUAAGCCACGGCUAACUACGUGCCAGCAGCCGCGGUAAUACGUAGGUGGCAAGCGUUGUCCGGAUUUACUGGGCGUAAAGAGCGCGCAGGCGGUCGUUCAAGUCGCGUGUGAAAGCCCCCGGCUCAACUGGGGAGGGUCACGCGAUACUGAUCGACUCGAAGGCAGGAGAGGGUAGUGGAAUUCCCGGUGUAGUGGUGAAAUGCGUAGAUAUCGGGAGGAACACCAGUGGCGAAGGCGACUACCUGGCCUGUUCUUGACGCUGAGGCGCGAAAGCUAGGGGAGCAAACGGG
RNAcentral lists this ribosomal RNA (404 nucleotides) under uncultured prokaryote. RNAcentral's name for it is "bacterial SSU rRNA". It matches the Rfam family "Bacterial small subunit ribosomal RNA", at positions 355 to 776 of the family's 1533-position model. RNAcentral also lists the same sequence under 1 other name. The record is from RNAcentral.